GACGAACGCUGGCGGCGUGCUUAACACAUGCAAGUCGAACGGAAAGGCCCUGCUUUUGUGGGGUGCUCGAGUGGCGAACGGGUGAGUAACACGUGAGUAACCUGCCCUUGACUUUGGGAUAACUUCAGGAAACUGGGGCUAAUACCGGAUAGGAGCUCCUGCUGCAUGGUGGGGGUUGGAAAGUUUCGGCGGUUGGGGAUGGACUCGCGGCUUAUCAGCUUGUUGGUGGGGUAGUGGCUUACCAAGGCUUUGACGGGUAGCCGGCCUGAGAGGGUGACCGGCCACAUUGGGACUGAGAUACGGCCCAGACUCCUACGGGAGGCAGCAGUGGGGAAUAUUGCACAAUGGGCGGAAGCCUGAUGCAGAAACGCGGCGUGCGGGAUGACGGCCUUCGGGUUGUAAACCGCUUUCGCAUGUGACGAAGAGUGAGUGACGGUAAUGGGUAAAGAAGCACCGGCUAACUACGUG
This 468-nucleotide ribosomal RNA is filed under the name uncultured bacterium. RNAcentral describes it as "partial 16S ribosomal RNA". It matches the Rfam family "Bacterial small subunit ribosomal RNA", at positions 28 to 507 of the family's 1533-position model. The record is from RNAcentral.